AGGACGAACGCUGGCGGCGUGCUUAACACAUGCAAGUCGAGCGGAAAGGCCCUUCGGGGUACUCGAGCGGCGAACGGGUGAGUAACACGUGAGUAAUCUGCCCCUAGCUCUGGGAUAGCUCCGGGAAAACCGGGAUUAAUACCGGAUACGACCACUUUAGACAUCUGUUGUGGUGGAAAGAAUUUUGGCUAGGGAUGAGCUCGCGGCCUAUCAGCUUGUUGGUGGGGUAAUGGCCUACCAAGGCGACGACGGGUAGCCGGCCUGAGAGGGCGACCGGCCACACUGGGACUGAGACACGGCCCAGACUCCUACGGGAGGCAGCAGUGGGGAAUAUUGCGCAAUGGGCGAAAGCCUGACGCAGCGACGCCGCGUGGGGAUGAAGGCCUUCGGUUGUAACCCCUUUCAGCGAGGGACGAAGCGAAGUGACGGUACCUGCAGAAGAGCGCCGGCUAACGUACGUGCCAGCAGCCGC
RNAcentral lists this ribosomal RNA (472 nucleotides) under uncultured bacterium. Its description in RNAcentral is "SSU rRNA". It matches the Rfam family "Bacterial small subunit ribosomal RNA", at positions 26 to 518 of the family's 1533-position model. The record is from RNAcentral.